GCAAGUCGAACGAGAAUCUAAUGACGGAGUUUUCGGACAACUGAUUUAGAGGACAGUGGCGGACUGGUGAGUAACGCGUGAGGAACCUGCCUUUCAGAGGGGGACAACAGUUGGAAACGACUGCUAAUACCGCAUGAUGUGUAACUGGGACAUCCCGGAUACACCAAAGAUUUAUCGCUGAAAGAUGGCCUCGCGUCUGAUUAGCUAGUUGGUGAGGUAACGGCCCACCAAGGCGACGAUCAGUAGCCGGACUGAGAGGUUGACCGGCCACAUUGGGACUGAGAUACGGCCCAGACUCCUACGGGAGGCAGCAGUGGGGAAUAUUGGGCAAUGGGCGCAAGCCUGACCCAGCAACACCGCGUGAAGGAAGAAGGCUUUCGGGUUGUAAACUUCUUUUAAGUGGGAAGAGCAGAAGACGGUACCACUUGAAUAAGCCACGGCUAACUACGUGCCAGCAGCCGCGGUAAUACGUAGGUGGCAAGCGUUGUCCGGAUUUACUGGGUGUAAAGGGCGUGCAGCCGGGCAUGCAAGUCAGAUGUGAAAUCUCAGGGCUUAACCCUGAAACUGCAUUUGAAACUGUAUGUCUUGAGUGCCGGAGAGGUAAUCGGAAUUCCUUGUGUAGCGGUGAAAUGCGUAGAUAUAAGGAAGAACACCAGUGGCGAAGGCGGAUUACUGGACGGUAACUGACGGUGAGGCGCGAAAGCGUGGGGAGCAAAC
This 717-nucleotide ribosomal RNA is filed under the name uncultured bacterium. RNAcentral's name for it is "bacterial SSU rRNA". It matches the Rfam family "Bacterial small subunit ribosomal RNA", at positions 57 to 773 of the family's 1533-position model. The record is from RNAcentral.